RNAcentral lists this ribosomal RNA (1370 nucleotides) under Comamonas testosteroni. Its description in RNAcentral is "bacterial LSU rRNA". It matches the Rfam family "Bacterial large subunit ribosomal RNA", at positions 1563 to 2925 of the family's 2925-position model. Lineage: Bacteria; Pseudomonadati; Pseudomonadota; Betaproteobacteria; Burkholderiales; Comamonadaceae. The record is from RNAcentral.
GUGAUAACGAGUCUGCUUGCAGACGAAGUGAGUGAUACCCUGCUUCCAGGAAAAGCCACUAAGCUUCAGCUAUUGACGACCGUACCGCAAACCGACACUGGUGCGCGAGAUGAGUAUUCUAAGGCGCUUGAGAGAACUCAGGAGAAGGAACUCGGCAAAUUGACACCGUAACUUCGGGAGAAGGUGUACCCCAAGUAAGUGAAGUUGUACAAAUGGAGCUCAAAGGGGUUGCAAAAAAUUGGUGGCUGCGACUGUUUAAUAAAAACACAGCACUCUGCAAACACGAAAGUGGACGUAUAGGGUGUGACGCCUGCCCGGUGCUGGAAGAUUAAAUGAUGGGGUGCAAGCUCUUGAUUGAAGUCCCAGUAAACGGCGGCCGUAACUAUAACGGUCCUAAGGUAGCGAAAUUCCUUGUCGGGUAAGUUCCGACCUGCACGAAUGGCGUAACGAUGGCCACACUGUCUCCUCCUGAGACUCAGCGAAGUUGAAAUGUUUGUGAUGAUGCAAUCUCCCCGCGGAAAGACGGAAAGACCCCAUGAACCUUUACUGUAGCUUUGUAUUGGACUUUGAACGGAUCUGUGUAGGAUAGGUGGGAGGCUUUGAAGUGCGGUCGCUAGAUCGCAUGGAGCCAACGUUGAAAUACCACCCUGGUGCGUUUGAGGUUCUAACCUGGAUCCAUUAUCUGGAUCGGGGACAGUGCAUGGUAGGCAGUUUGACUGGGGCGGUCUCCUCCCAAAGCGUAACGGAGGAGUUCGAAGGUACGCUAGUUACGGUCGGACAUCGUGACGAUAGUGCAAUGGCAUAAGCGUGCUUAACUGCGAGACUGACAAGUCGAGCAGAUGCGAAAGCAGGACAUAGUGAUCCGGUGGUUCUGUAUGGAAGGGCCAUCGCUCAACGGAUAAAAGGUACUCUGGGGAUAACAGGCUGAUACCGCCCAAGAGUUCAUAUCGACGGCGGUGUUUGGCACCUCGAUGUCGGCUCAUCUCAUCCUGGGGCUGUAGUCGGUCCCAAGGGUAUGGCUGUUCGCCAUUUAAAGAGGUACGUGAGCUGGGUUUAAAACGUCGUGAGACAGUUUGGUCCCUAUCUUCCGUGGGCGCUGCAGAUUUGAGGAAGCCUGCUCCUAGUACGAGAGGACCGGAGUGGACACACCUCUGGUGUACCUGUUGUCACGCCAGUGGCAUCGCAGGGUAGCUAAGUGUGGAAGAGAUAACCGCUGAAAGCAUCUAAGCGGGAAACUCGUUUCAAGAUGAGAUCUGCCGGGGCCUUGAGCCCCCUGAAGGGUCGUUGUAGACCACGACGUUGAUAGGCUGGGUGUGGAAGCGCAGUAAUGCGUUAAGCUAACCAGUACUAAUUGCCCGUGCGGCUUGACC